This 417-nucleotide unclassified non-coding RNA is filed under the name uncultured Sebacinaceae. RNAcentral's name for it is "sequence contains ITS2". The stretch from base 1 to 154 matches the Rfam family "5.8S ribosomal RNA". The record is from RNAcentral. Lineage: Eukaryota; Fungi; Basidiomycota; Agaricomycetes; Sebacinales; Sebacinaceae.
AACUUGUAGCAAUGUAUCACUUGGCUCUCACAUCGAUUAAGAACGCAGCGAAAUGCGAUAAGUAAUGUGAAUUGCAGAAUUCAGUGAAUCGUCGAAUCUUUGAACGCACCUUGCACCCUUUGGCAUUCCGAAGGGUAUGCUCGUUUGAGUGUCAUUGUACUCUCACACUUCUGAUCCUUUGGAUCGGGAGUGGUGGACUUGGGUGCUGCUGCUUUACUGUGGCUCACCUCAAAUGCAUUAGUGCAACUCUUGGUUGGACAUAGUACGGCGUGAUAAGUAUCUUCGCCGGCACCUCGCAAGAGGGUGGCUGAUCAGGGGCUCUGUGCUUUCCAACUGUCUUCAGACAACAACUGACAACUUGACCUCAAAUCGAGUAGGACCACCCGCUGAACUUAAGCAUAUCAAUAAGCGGAGGCU